Non-coding RNA from Heterocephalus glaber (naked mole-rat), 3907 nucleotides. Lineage: Eukaryota; Metazoa; Chordata; Mammalia; Rodentia; Bathyergidae. The record is from RefSeq and is a predicted model, not a curated record.
GCACAACCAAUAGUCACUGUCUCAUAUUCUGGGGCCUGGAAGUCCAAGAUCAAGGUGUGAGCAGGGCAGGUCCCUCCUGAGGCCUCUGUCUUUGGCUGGCAGAUGAUGUCUUCUCCCUAUAUCCUCAUAUGGUUGUCCUUUAUGUGUCUGUGUCAUGACUUCCUCUUCUUAUAGGACCCCAGUUAAAUGGCUUAAGACUUGCCAGAACCAGAAAGGGGCUGGGCAGAUGGCUGGGAGGAGACUGGCACUGGAGCUGUGUCCCAGCCAUUCUCCGGGGAACCAGUCUGGUGUGUUAGCAGUUUCUGUUGAAAUUGAUCCAGGGAGCUUCCCAGAAGGGCCUCCCAGGCUCCCAAAAUAAGGCCUUUGUGGCUAGUGAUGCCUGCUGGCUUCCCCAAGUGCAGGAGCCGCCAGAGAUAAGAGAAUGCAGGGCAUCUGGCUUAAUCUCCUACACAAGUGAGAGGGGUGGUAUCCCAAUGUGGCUCCCAACUUGCAAUACACAGACUUAGCUUUAUCCACAACCACCUGAGCAGCGCCAUGGGAAAAGAAUGGAAUGUCCCAGUCCCACCAGCCCUCCCUCCCCUCCUCACGGUGUCUCCCAGAAGCAGGAGCUCAGGGCCCCUCCUCUUUCUCUGUUCUUUGCAGUUUCGAUGCAGAGUUGUUCCUCCUCCCAGAAACCUAACUCUUUUGAAUAGUUCUGAUCAACCCAGCCAGAUAGCAAUGCACUAUCCCUGCCUACUUUGGAGGGUUUUAUCAGGUGACUUGGAGAGGGGAUGGGAGAAUAAACUAGAGGAAGGGCAGCAGGCACUUAGACCUCACAAUAUCAUAACUGCCUGGGUGACCCAGGACUGCUGUAACACAGAGCGCUUAAAACAGUACACAUCUGUUCUUCCAGAGCUCUAGGGGGCCAGAUGUCAGAAAUCAAGGGUUCAGCUGGACUGUGCUGUCCCAGCGCUGUCAGGGAGAGUCUUUCCUGCCUUUUCUAGCUCUGGGGACCUCAAGCAUCCCUUGGCUUAUGGCCUUGCCACUCUAGUCUCUGACUCUGACUUCAUGGGACCUUUUCUACUUUUCUUUCUCUGUCUUAGUCUCCCUCAGCCUUUACCUCAAGGACACUUGACAUUGGAUGCAGGGCCCACCUUAAGGCCAGGAACAUCUCCUUUGGGACCCUUACCUGAGUUAUAUCAGCAAAGACCUCUUUUCCACAAGUUACAUUCACAAGGUUCUAGGGUUAGAGCUCAGACAUAUCUUUCUGGGGCCACCGUUCACCCUACUGCAGCUGGUUUCUCCCUGUCACCAUCAGCCCCAACUUUAUCUUUCAUGUUUCUGCUCUGCACUGGGAUGCUGGGGUUGCAACUCUGUAAACAGCAAUUCCAGGACUUCUUUACCAACUGCUCUUGUAAGACUGUUCAGCCAGGACGUGCUAGAGGCAGACUGGAAGUGCAAGGUGGGGUGUCCUGGUCCUGCUUUCCCACUCUUUCCUGCACCCCUCCUGAAGCAGCCCCAAGUGCUCCAGCACCAGUCCUCUGCAGGGCCCAAGGCAGAACCCAAGUAGCCAAUAAUGCCCUCCUCCUGCUCCACCUCUGACCCAGGGGACUCCUCUGGGCUUGGUCCCAGGCCCCACCUGCCCUAAUUGUAGACACAAUUGUUUGUUCUGUAGUGUUGAUGGCGCUUGCCUCGGGAAUAUAUCUUGUAUCCCAUGGAAAAGUCGGAGGAAGCACAUGUUAACUGAGCAGUCUUCCCCGUCAUUCGUGGGAUACUUCCCAGAAAUCCCAGUGGGUGCCUGAGACCUUGAGGAGCACCCCACCCCACUCAGGCUGUUUUCCUCUGUAUAUACAGACCUAGAAAAAAGUUUAAUUUAUGAAUUAAACAUGGUAAGACAUCAACAACAGUAAGUAAUAAUAAAAUAGAGCAAUGAUAACAAGAUCCUGAAAUAAAAGUUACAUGAAUGUGAUCUCUUCCUCAAAAGAGCCCUGCAGGCUGCACUGGGUCUCCAUUUGUUUAUGUUUUCCCUCAGCCUAUGGGCUUCAUCCCGGUCUUGGGGAGCAACAGCGGCUUCUGCCUCUGGGGAAAGGCCAUACUCCUUCCAGGUCUAAGCUCCUGGCCCCUCCACGGCUUGAAUCUGUGCCUUUCCUCACCUUCCCAAAGCAUGAAGUCUCAGGGUAUCCCCAGGGCUUCCACAUCCCACCUUUCACCCAGGAACCCAGGCUGGCAGCCAAGAUGGCAGCAAGGCCCCUUGUGGGAGUGCUGGAGGGAACCCAGAGGCAGGACACAGGUUUCACCCAGAGUCACUUGUCCAUUCCAGCCUGAGCAGCCACUUUGACCCGCAGGCCACCCGGCAAUAGGACACUAGACUGCACCCUGUACAACCUCAGAGACAACAACGGGGCUCCUUCCACACCCUCACAGCCCAAACACUGAGAUGGGGCUCAGCCUGAGACAGUCAAAGGAGCCACUAUAGCAUUAAUUGCCCUAUUGUCCUGUGGGUCCAUUCCACUAUUGCCCCAUAGCACUCCUCCUCCAAGAUCAUGCUCCCUGUAGUCUUAUCCCAGACAACUGCUGAGCAUGACCCGUUCCUGAAGACCCAGGACUCCUCUGACAAGCAAAAGUGGACCAGGAACUCCCCUUGCUUAACCUACCUGUCAUGCACAGUAGCCUACGAUUCCUGCUCAUCUGACUCUUCUCUCUUGCAUUUCAGGUCAGACAUGGGCAUCAGCUUGAUAGCUCUGUGUCCUUGCUCCCUGCCCAUUUUCAUCCCCAGAGGGAUGUUCCCUACUAACAUCCUCGAACCUUUAAUCCUACCUCAGUGCCUGCUCCUUGGUGGACCCAGAUUAACACACUAGACAGCUGGUAACCCCCAACUGGCAGAAUGAAAAGUUUCAUCUCCCUUGAAAGCAGCCAGGUUCAUCUUCCCAAAAGCUAGGACUUGAAUCAUGCUGCAGACCUUUUCCUGGCCAGCCUUCCCAAACAAGCAUCCCAGGCAUGCCCCUAAACCUGCCUGCCAAAGCUUCUCUCCAUGCUGCUCUCAGUUUCCUCAUCUGCAGAAUGUGAAGAUGAGUGUUCUGGCAAAGAUGUCUUGGGAGCACUUCACAUGCAGACUAUGUUGGUGGGACUGGAGGAGGAAGACUGGUUUAUUGGAGAUGACGCCCAGAAGAACAGAGAGAAACUCAUUCUGCAGUACCCUAUUUCCCAGGGAGCUGUCGCCAGCUAGGACCACCUGGAGAAGAUUUGGCAUCAUUCCUUCUACCAGGUGCGUCACACCGCUCCCGAAGACCACCCUCUGAUGGUGACUGAACCCCCUUUAAAUUCAUCAUCCACCAAAGAGAGAGUGUGCCAGGGGACAGGACUCUGGUUCCAUCACAAAAGCUGUUCUCCUGGCUAAGUGCCACACUUGUGUGUCCAUCACCUGUGGAUGCCUGUCUGUGGGGUCUCCAGUUUGGGAUCCUGUUCGAGACCUUCAAUAUACCUGCCCUGAGCUUAAUCAAUCAAGGAGUCCUUUCUCUAUAUGCUUCUGGCCAAACUUCUGGUAAGUGGCCCUCGGCGAUCCCCACUCACACAUCCUUGUCCCUGUGACUGGAGACUGGUAACACUCUAUAACACACAGCCUACUCUCUCCCUGACAAAUAAUCAAAGACAACUCUUCAAAGCUCACACCCCUCUGCCCCUUUCCUGACUCCCUCCGCUUUCAUCCUUCCUAGUUAAAUAGGCCUCUCCCAGACAUUAACAAUUUGCUAGGCUCACUUUUUCUUUUAACAGCUUUACUGAUAUGUAAUUGACAUUUAAUAAACUGCAUAUGUUUUAGGUGUACAGUUUGAAAAGUUCUGACAUGUGGAUGCACUCACGAAACCAUUACAACCACCAUGAGCAAAAUCUUUGCUGUUACCUGAGUAAUUAUUUCUGAUUUCAUUUUCCC